This 2933-nucleotide ribosomal RNA is filed under the name Bacillus velezensis. Its description in RNAcentral is "23S ribosomal RNA". It matches the Rfam family "Bacterial large subunit ribosomal RNA". The record is from RNAcentral. Lineage: Bacteria; Bacillati; Bacillota; Bacilli; Caryophanales; Bacillaceae.
CGGUUAAGUUAGAAAGGGCGCACGGUGGAUGCCUUGGCACUAGGAGCCGAUGAAGGACGGGACGAACACCGAUAUGCUUCGGGGAGCUGUAAGCAAGCUUUGAUCCGGAGAUUUCCGAAUGGGGAAACCCACCACUCGUAAUGGAGUGGUAUCCAUAUCUGAAUACAUAGGAUAUGAGAAGGCAGACCCGGGGAACUGAAACAUCUAAGUACCCGGAGGAAGAGAAAGCAAAUGCGAUUCCCUGAGUAGCGGCGAGCGAAACGGGACCAGCCCAAACCAAGAGGCUUGCCUCUUGGGGUUGUAGGACACUCUGUACGGAGUUACAAAGGAACGAGGUAGAUGAAGAGGUCUGGAAAGGCCCGCCAUAGAAGGUAACAGCCCUGUAGUCAAAACUUCGUUCUCUCCUGAGUGGAUCCUGAGUACGGCGGAACACGUGAAAUUCCGUCGGAAUCCGGGAGGACCAUCUCCCAAGGCUAAAUACUCCCUAGUGACCGAUAGUGAACCAGUACCGUGAGGGAAAGGUGAAAAGCACCCCGGAAGGGGAGUGAAAGAGAUCCUGAAACCGUGUGCCUACAAGUAGUCAGAGCCCGUUAACGGGUGAUGGCGUGCCUUUUGUAGAAUGAACCGGCGAGUUACGAUCCCGUGCAAGGUUAAGCAGAAGAUGCGGAGCCGCAGCGAAAGCGAGUCUGAAUAGGGCGAAUUGAGUACGUGGUCGUAGACCCGAAACCAGGUGAUCUACCCAUGUCCAGGGUGAAGUUCAGGUAACACUGAAUGGAGGCCCGAACCCACGCACGUUGAAAAGUGCGGGGAUGAGGUGUGGGUAGGGGUGAAAUGCCAAUCGAACCUGGAGAUAGCUGGUUCUCUCCGAAAUAGCUUUAGGGCUAGCCUCAAGGUAAGAGUCUCGGAGGUAGAGCACUGAUUGGACUAGGGGCCCCUACCGGGUUACCGAAUUCAGUCAAACUCCGAAUGCCGAUGACUUAUCCUUGGGAGUCAGACUGCGAGUGAUAAGAUCCGUAGUCGAAAGGGAAACAGCCCAGACCGCCAGCUAAGGUCCCAAAGUAUACGUUAAGUGGAAAAGGAUGUGGAGUUGCUUAGACAACCAGGAUGUUGGCUUAGAAGCAGCCACCAUUUAAAGAGUGCGUAAUAGCUCACUGGUCGAGUGACUCUGCGCCGAAAAUGUACCGGGGCUAAACGUAUCACCGAAGCUGCGGACUGUUCUUCGAACAGUGGUAGGAGAGCGUUCUAAGGGCUGUGAAGCAAGACCGGAAGGACUUGUGGAGCGCUUAGAAGUGAGAAUGCCGGUAUGAGUAGCGAAAGAGGGGUGAGAAUCCCCUCCACCGAAUGCCUAAGGUUUCCUGAGGAAGGCUCGUCCGCUCAGGGUUAGUCGGGACCUAAGCCGAGGCCGAAAGGCGUAGGCGAUGGAUAACAGGUUGAUAUUCCUGUACCACCUCCUCACCAUUUGAGCAAUGGGGGGACGCAGGAGGAUAGGGUAAGCGCGGUAUUGGAUAUCCGCGUCCAAGCAGUUAGGCUGGGAAAUAGGCAAAUCCGUUUCCCGUGAAGGCUGAGCUGUGAUGGCGAGCGAAUUAUAGUAGCGAAGUUCCUGAUUCCACACUGCCAAGAAAAGCCUCUAGCGAGGUGAGAGGUGCCCGUACCGCAAACCGACACAGGUAGGCGAGGAGAGAAUCCUAAGGUGAUCGAGAGAACUCUCGUUAAGGAACUCGGCAAAAUGACCCCGUAACUUCGGGAGAAGGGGUGCUCUGUUAGGGUGCAAGCCCGAGAGAGCCGCAGUGAAUAGGCCCAGGCGACUGUUUAGCAAAAACACAGGUCUCUGCGAAGCCGUAAGGCGAAGUAUAGGGGCUGACGCCUGCCCGGUGCUGGAAGGUUAAGAGGAGCGCUUAGCGUAAGCGAAGGUGCGAAUUGAAGCCCCAGUAAACGGCGGCCGUAACUAUAACGGUCCUAAGGUAGCGAAAUUCCUUGUCGGGUAAGUUCCGACCCGCACGAAAGGCGCAACGAUCUGGGCACUGUCUCAACGAGAGACUCGGUGAAAUUAUAGUACCUGUGAAGAUGCAGGUUACCCGCGACAGGACGGAAAGACCCGUGGAGCUUUACUGCAGCCUGAUAUUGAAUGUUGGUACAGCUUGUACAGGAUAGGUAGGAGCCUUGGAAACCGGAGCGCCAGCUUCGGUGGAGGCAUCGGUGGGAUACUACCCUGGCUGUAUUGACCUUCUAACCCGCCGCCCUUAUCGGGCGGGGAGACAGUGUCAGGUGGGCAGUUUGACUGGGGCGGUCGCCUCCUAAAAGGUAACGGAGGCGCCCAAAGGUUCCCUCAGAAUGGUUGGAAAUCAUUCGCAGAGUGUAAAGGCACAAGGGAGCUUGACUGCGAGACCUACAAGUCGAGCAGGGACGAAAGUCGGGCUUAGUGAUCCGGUGGUUCCGCAUGGAAGGGCCAUCGCUCAACGGAUAAAAGCUACCCCGGGGAUAACAGGCUUAUCUCCCCCAAGAGUCCACAUCGACGGGGAGGUUUGGCACCUCGAUGUCGGCUCAUCGCAUCCUGGGGCUGUAGUCGGUCCCAAGGGUUGGGCUGUUCGCCCAUUAAAGCGGUACGCGAGCUGGGUUCAGAACGUCGUGAGACAGUUCGGUCCCUAUCCGUCGCGGGCGCAGGAAAUUUGAGAGGAGCUGUCCUUAGUACGAGAGGACCGGGAUGGACGCACCGCUGGUGUACCAGUUGUUCUGCCAAGGGCAUCGCUGGGUAGCUAUGUGCGGACGGGAUAAGUGCUGAAAGCAUCUAAGCAUGAAGCCCCCCUCAAGAUGAGAUUUCCCAUUCCGCAAGGAAGUAAGAUCCCUGAAAGAUGAUCAGGUUGAUAGGUCUGAGGUGGAAGUGUGGCGACACAUGGAGCUGACAGAUACUAAUCGAUCGAGGACUUAACCAAUUU